UUGUUCUCAGACUAGCCAUGCACGUCUAGUACAAACUAAAUGAUGGUGAAACUGCAAAUGGCUCAUUACAACGGUUAUGAUGUACCCGGGAGUUCCGAUGGAUAUUUCCAGUAACACUAGAACUAAUACAUGUCCCUGCGUUUAUUAGUUUCGCACAGUCCGUCGCUGAGUCAUGGUAAACAGUUGAUCGACUCGACGUCCCGGAACAGUUUCCGCCCCAUCAGCUUCGAUGGUUGGGUAUUGGCCUACCAUUGCAACAACGGGUAACGAGGAAUUAGGGUUUGAUUUCGGAGAGGGAGCCUGAGAAACGGCUACCACAUCUACGGAUGGCAGCAGGCGCGCAAAUUACCCAAUGCAGACACUGUGAGGUAGUGACGAGAAAUAAUAAAGCGGGACUUCUGUUUCGCUAUUAUAAUGAGGAAUAACCAAAGGUCAUUCCGAUUAGCAACUGAUGGGAAAGUCUGGUGCCAGCAGCCGCGGUAAUACCAGCGUCAGUAGCA
RNAcentral lists this ribosomal RNA (500 nucleotides) under uncultured Myrionecta. Its description in RNAcentral is "SSU rRNA". It matches the Rfam family "Eukaryotic small subunit ribosomal RNA", at positions 33 to 598 of the family's 1831-position model. The record is from RNAcentral. Lineage: Eukaryota; Ciliophora; Litostomatea; Cyclotrichida; Mesodiniidae.